GAUGAACGCUGGCGGCGUGCCUAAUACAUGCAAGUCGAGCGAACAGACGAGGAGCUUGCUCCUCUGACGUUAGCGGCGGACGGGUGAGUAACACGUGGAUAACCUACCUAUAAGACUGGGAUAACUUCGGGAAACCGGAGCUAAUACCGGAUAAUAUAUUGAACCGCAUGGUUCUAUAGUGAAAGACGGUUUUGCUGUCACUUAUAGAUGGAUCCGCGCCGCAUUAGCUAGUUGGUAAGGUAACGGCUUACCAAGGCAACGAUGCGUAGCCGACCUGAGAGGGUGAUCGGCCACACUGGAACUGAGACACGGUCCAGACUCCUACGGGAGGCAGCAGUAGGGAAUCUUCCGCAAUGGGCGAAAGCCUGACGGAGCAACGCCGCGUGAGUGAUGAAGGUCUUCGGAUCGUAAAACUCUGUUAUUAGGGAAGAACAAAUGUGUAGUAACUAUGCACGUCUUGACGGUACCUAAUCAGAAAGCCACGGCUAACUACGUG
This 496-nucleotide ribosomal RNA is filed under the name uncultured bacterium. RNAcentral's name for it is "partial 16S ribosomal RNA". It matches the Rfam family "Bacterial small subunit ribosomal RNA", at positions 28 to 507 of the family's 1533-position model. The record is from RNAcentral.